Molecule: small nucleolar RNA, 143 nt
Organism: Rattus norvegicus (Norway rat)
Lineage: Eukaryota; Metazoa; Chordata; Mammalia; Rodentia; Muridae
Product: small nucleolar RNA SNORA48
Source: Ensembl
AACCCCUGGCAAUGGCCAAAGAAACACCUUGUUGAUGGUAUUGUUCUUAUAUCAGUCAGGGGCAGAACAGAUGGCAGUCCUUUGUUAUCCUAGCUUGUUUCUUAGCUUGGUGGCCAAUGCUGUUUUAUGCCUAGGAUACAUAG